UACAGAGGUCUCAAGCGUUGUUCGGAAUCACUGGGCGUAAAGGGUGCGUAGGCUGCACGGUAAGUCAGAGGUGAAAUCCCGGAGCUCAACUUCGGAAUUGCCUCCGAUACUGCCGUGCUUGAGGACUGGAGAGGAGACUGGAAUUCCUGGUGUAGCGGUGAAAUGCGCAGAUAUCAGGAGGAACACCGGUGGCGAAGGCGGGUCUCUGGGCAACUACUGACGCUGAGGAGCGAAAGCGUGGGGAGCGAACAGG
RNAcentral lists this ribosomal RNA (253 nucleotides) under uncultured bacterium. Its description in RNAcentral is "partial 16S ribosomal RNA". It matches the Rfam family "Bacterial small subunit ribosomal RNA", at positions 524 to 776 of the family's 1533-position model. The record is from RNAcentral.